RNAcentral lists this transfer RNA (69 nucleotides) under Desmognathus quadramaculatus (black-bellied salamander). RNAcentral's name for it is "tRNA-His". It matches the Rfam family "tRNA". From Rfam's summary of the family: Transfer RNA (tRNA) molecules are approximately 80 nucleotides in length. Lineage: Eukaryota; Metazoa; Chordata; Amphibia; Caudata; Plethodontidae. The record is from RNAcentral.
GUAUAUAUAGUUUAACUAAAACACUAGACUGUGAUUCUAGAAAUAAGAGUGAAAUACUCUUUAUAAACC